GAUGAACGCUGGCGGCGUGCCUAAUACAUGCAAGUCGAGCGAACGGACGAGAAGCUUGCUUCUCUGAUGUUAGCGGCGGACGGGUGAGUAACACGUGGAUAACCUACCUAUAAGACUGGGAUAACUUCGGGAAACCGGAACUAAUACCGGAUAAUAUUUUGAACCGCAUGGUUCAAAAGUAAAAGACGGUCUUGCUGUCACUUAUAGAUGGAUCCGCGCUGCAUUAGCUAGUUGGUAAGGUAACGGCUUACCAAGGCAACGAUGCAUAGCCGACCUGAGAGGGUGAUCGGCCACACUGGAACUGAGACACGGUCCAGACUCCUACGGGAGGCAGCAGUAGGGAAUCUUCCGCAAAGGGCGAAAGCCUGACGGAGCAACGCCGCGUGAGUGAUGAAGGUCUUCGGAUCGUAAAACUCUGUUAUUAGGGAAGAACAGAUGUGUAAGUAACUGUGCACAUCUUGACGGUACCUAAUCAGAAAGCCACGGCUAACUACGUG
This 497-nucleotide ribosomal RNA is filed under the name uncultured bacterium. Its description in RNAcentral is "partial 16S ribosomal RNA". It matches the Rfam family "Bacterial small subunit ribosomal RNA", at positions 28 to 507 of the family's 1533-position model. The record is from RNAcentral.